CCUAAUAGUGUGACUUUUUAAUUGUGUAUUUGAUAAAAACAGAUCCAUGCCAUCUCGCCGCACGUAUAAGACAGAAAGACCAGUUGGGUGGAAAACAGCUUCCAUCUCAGGCUAGGAACCCUUAGCUGUAUGGGGGAUUCCGGAACAGAAUGCUACCCAUCCCUAAUGAGGUGCUGCUGCAGCAUCCACCCGAGGAGUCCAUGACAGUCGAGGCUAAGCACUUUCUGGCUGGGUUUGCUAGGGCAUCUAUUUUGGCCUCCCCUCUGUGUCAAGGGGACAUGAAGCGCCGGGCCCUACCUGGCUGCUGGAACAU
RNAcentral lists this long non-coding RNA (313 nucleotides) under Pan troglodytes (chimpanzee). Its description in RNAcentral is "long non-coding RNA NONPTRT005063". The record is from RNAcentral. Lineage: Eukaryota; Metazoa; Chordata; Mammalia; Primates; Hominidae.